AUGGACAAGAAGAGACCCAUGGAGCACCAGAGCUGGACCAGGGGAUGGUUGAGAGAGCCAAAAGCCUGGGGGCGCCCCCCUAGGGCGCGCCUCUCGAGCUUGUGGGGCCCUCGGGCACCCCCUUGA
Molecule: ribosomal RNA, 126 nt
Filed under: Triticum aestivum (bread wheat)
Lineage: Eukaryota; Viridiplantae; Streptophyta; Magnoliopsida; Poales; Poaceae
Description: partial small subunit ribosomal RNA
Source: RNAcentral